AGAACGAACGCUGGCGGCAUGCCUAACACAUGCAAGUCGAACGAGACCUUCGGGUCUAGUGGCGCACGGGUGCGUAACGCGUGGGAAUCUGCCCUUGGGUUCGGAAUAACAGCGAGAAAUUGCUGCUAAUACCGGAUGAUGACGUAAGUCCAAAGAUUUAUCGCCCAAGGAUGAGCCCGCGUAGGAUUAGCUUGUUGGUGAGGUAAGAGCUCACCAAGGCGACGACCCUUAGCUGGUCUGAGAGGAUGAUCAGCCACACUGGGACUGAGACACGGCCCAGACCUCCGUACGGGAGCAGCGAGGUGGGAAUAGUAGGACAAGUGGGACGAAAGCCUGACU
RNAcentral lists this ribosomal RNA (339 nucleotides) under uncultured soil bacterium. Its description in RNAcentral is "bacterial SSU rRNA". It matches the Rfam family "Bacterial small subunit ribosomal RNA", at positions 26 to 388 of the family's 1533-position model. The record is from RNAcentral.